AGCGAACGCUGGCGGCAGGCUUAACACAUGCAAGUCGAGCGGGCACUUUCGGGUGUCAGCGGCGGACGGGUGCGUAACGCGUGGGAACGUGCCCUCUGGUUCGGAAUAACUCAGGGAAACUUGAGCUAAUACCGGAUACGCCCUUUUGGGGAAAGGCUUGCUGCCGGAGGAUCGGCCCGCGUCUGAUUAGCUAGUUGGUGAGGUAACGGCUCACCAAGGCGACGAUCAGUAGCUGGUCUGAGAGGAUGAUCAGCCACACUGGGACUGAGACGCGGCCCAGACUCCUACGGGAGGCAGCAGUGGGUAAUAUUGGACAAUGGGCGCAAGCCUGAUUCAGCCCUGCCGCGUGAGUGAUGAAGGCCUUAGGGUUGUAAAGCUCUUUUAUCCGGGACGAUAAUGACGGUACCGGAAGAAUAAGCCCCGGCUAACUUCGUG
Molecule: ribosomal RNA, 435 nt
Filed under: uncultured bacterium
Lineage: Bacteria
Description: partial 16S ribosomal RNA
Rfam family: Bacterial small subunit ribosomal RNA
Source: RNAcentral